RNAcentral lists this ribosomal RNA (299 nucleotides) under Klebsiella pneumoniae. RNAcentral describes it as "partial 23S ribosomal RNA". It matches the Rfam family "Bacterial large subunit ribosomal RNA", at positions 2088 to 2386 of the family's 2925-position model. Lineage: Bacteria; Pseudomonadati; Pseudomonadota; Gammaproteobacteria; Enterobacterales; Enterobacteriaceae. The record is from RNAcentral.
ACCCCGUGAACCUUUACUAUAGCUUGACACUGAACAUUGAGCCUUGAUGUGUAGGAUAGGUGGGAGGCUUUGAAGCGUGGACGCCAGUCUGCGUGGAGCCAACCUUGAAAUACCACCCUUUAAUGUUUGAUGUUCUAACGUUGGCCCCUUACCGGGGUUGCGGACAGUGUCUGGUGGGUAGUUUGACUGGGGCGGUCUCCUCCCAAAGCGUAACGGAGGAGCACGAAGGUUAGCUAAUCCUGGUCGGACAUCAGGAGGUUAGUGCAAUGGCAUAAGCUAGCUUGACUGCGAGCGUGACG